RNAcentral lists this transfer RNA (65 nucleotides) under Squilla mantis. RNAcentral describes it as "tRNA-Tyr". It matches the Rfam family "tRNA". From Rfam's summary of the family: Transfer RNA (tRNA) molecules are approximately 80 nucleotides in length. Their secondary structure includes four short double-helical elements and three loops (D, anti-codon, and T loops). Further hydrogen bonds mediate the characteristic L-shaped molecular structure. tRNAs have two regions of fundamental functional importance: the anti-codon, which is responsible for specific mRNA codon recognition, and the 3' end, to which the tRNAs corresponding amino acid is attached (by aminoacyl-tRNA synthetases). tRNAs cope with the degeneracy of the genetic code in two manners: having more than one tRNA (with a specific anti-codon) for a particular amino acid; and 'wobble' base-pairing, i.e. permitting non-standard base-pairing at the 3rd anti-codon position. Lineage: Eukaryota; Metazoa; Arthropoda; Malacostraca; Stomatopoda; Squillidae. The record is from RNAcentral.
GGUAAAGUGGCUGAGUAAUAGGCGAUAGAUUGUAAAUCUAUUAACAAGGGUUUCCUUCUUUAUCA